GGCCGCGGGAAUUCGAUUCAGGCCUAACACAUGCAAGUCGAGCGGUAGAGAGAAGCUUGCUUCUCUUGAGAGCGGCGGACGGGUGAGUAAUGCCUAGGAAUCUGCCUGGUAGUGGGGGAUAACGUUCGGAAACGGACGCUAAUACCGCAUACGUCCUACGGGAGAAAGCAGGGGACCUUCGGGCCUUGCGCUAUCAGAUGAGCCUAGGUCGGAUUAGCUAGUUGGUGAGGUAAUGGCUCACCAAGGCUACGAUCCGUAACUGGUCUGAGAGGAUGAUCAGUCACACUGGAACUGAGACACGGUCCAGACUCCUACGGGAGGCAGCAGUGGGGAAUAUUGGACAAUGGGCGAAAGCCUGAUCCAGCCAUGCCGCGUGUGUGAAGAAGGUCUUCGGA
RNAcentral lists this ribosomal RNA (395 nucleotides) under uncultured bacterium. RNAcentral describes it as "bacterial SSU rRNA". It matches the Rfam family "Bacterial small subunit ribosomal RNA", at positions 39 to 422 of the family's 1533-position model. The record is from RNAcentral.